Molecule: ribosomal RNA, 700 nt
Filed under: uncultured bacterium
Lineage: Bacteria
Description: bacterial SSU rRNA
Rfam family: Bacterial small subunit ribosomal RNA
Source: RNAcentral
AGAGUUUGAUCAUGGCUCAGAUUGAACGCUGGCGGCAUGCUUUACACAUGCAAGUCGAACGGCAGCACGGGAGCUUGCUCCUGGUGGCGAGUGGCGAACGGGUGAGUAAUGCACCGGAACGUACCCAGUAAUGGGGGAUAACACAUCGAAAGAUGUGCUAAUACCGCAUACGCCCUGAGGGGGAAAGCGGGGGAUCGUAAGACCUCGCGUUAUUGGAGCGGCCGAUGCCGGAUUAGCUAGUUGGUGAGGUAAGAGCUCACCAAGGCGACGAUCCGUAGCUGGUCUGAGAGGACGACCAGCCACACUGGGACUGAGACACGGCCCAGACUCCUACGGGAGGCAGCAGUGGGGAAUUUUGGACAAUGGGCGCAAGCCUGAUCCAGCCAUGCCGCGUGAGUGAAGAAGGCCUUCGGGUUGUAAAGCUCUUUCGCAAGGAAAGAAAACUUAUCUACUAAUACUAGGUGAGGUUGACGGUACCUUGAUAAGAAGCACCGGCUAACUACGUGCCAGCAGCCGCGGUAAUACGUAGGGUGCGAGCGUUAAUCGGAAUUACUGGGCGUAAAGCGUGCGCAGGCGGUUUUGUAAGUCAGAUGUGAAAUCCCCGGGCUCAACCUGGGAACUGCGUUUGAAACUACAAGGCUAGAGUGUAGAAGAGGGGGGUAGAAUUCCACGUGUAGCAGUGAAAUGCGUAGAGAUGUGG